UUUCCGUAGGUGAACCUGCGGAAGGAUCAUUACAGAGUUCAUGCCCUCGCGGGUAGAUCUCCCACCCUUGUAUAUUUAUACCUUAGUUGCUUUGGCAGGCCGUGGAAACACCAUGGGCUCCGGCUUAUGCGUGCCUGCCAGAGGAAACAAACUCUGUUUUUAGUGAUGUCUGAGUACUAUAUAAUAGUUAAAACUUUCAACAACGGAUCUCUUGGUUCUG
RNAcentral lists this unclassified non-coding RNA (220 nucleotides) under plant metagenome. Its description in RNAcentral is "partial contains small subunit ribosomal RNA, internal transcribed spacer 1, and 5.8S ribosomal RNA". The record is from RNAcentral.